GCUCCUUGGCAUGGUCCCUUGAGGAUGCCCUGUGUGCCCCGCGAGAGCACUGCACCACCCCCUCAGCAGGCAGUUGGUUCCUCAUCUGCUAGUAGCGUCGUGCUGGCCGGAGCCUCGGGCCACGGUCCUUCCCGUUGGGCUGCAGGAGGACGGAUGGACGGACACCCCUCCACCCCCAACUUGCCUGACAACGCCUGUCUGUGCCAGAGAAGCAUCCUGGGACAGGCCGUGGUGCUGUCAUCCGCCUGCCUGCUGUUACAGUGGCAAGAUGGAAAAGCAAACCUGUGGAAGACACGGUUCCAGGAGCACCCUGCCGGAGAACUCCCGAUGGUGCCUGCAACUCUGCCUUUGCCCCGAGGGUGUCCCACCCCCCAGUGACUGAGCUGCCUGCCUGGACGCCGGACCACUUGGGCUCAGCGUUGGCCAGCAGACCACUGCAGAGAGAUGGAUUGGAAGUGGAGAAGCCAGGACUUGAAUUGGCAUCCAUAUGGGAUGCUGGCACUGCAGACAGCAGCUUUACCCACUACGCCACAGCACCAGACCAAGUUCCAGAUCAUGCUGGUACGUCUAAGUGGAGCGGAGAAUAUCGGUGCUCAUGAGGGACAUCUUGAUGGAAAACGUGACUCUGCUCUGAGGAAGGCUGCAAGUCUACUGAUCUCAGCAUCAUCAUUCUACUGAUGCUUCCAGGAUACUACAGUCGAAAAACAAACAAAAAACAGGCAUGAGAAAUGAUGACUAAGGAGUACUCUAAGAUGUCUUGCAGCAAUCCUGCAGCUGUCGUCUUCUGAAUUCACACGCACUGUUCUUAUUCCCCCAGUAUAGAUGUGUGAUCAUAUUCCCAAAAUGUUGCCAACCAGGUAAGCUUCCUCAGGUUGCAGUAGAGUAAACACAGGAUGUUCAUAUGACUGUUUUUAACUCCAUACUUUCUAAUCAUUCUACAGGGCAAACUGACAUAGUUUGGCUAGUAUCCCAGUGAAAACCCACACUCAACACAUACCUCAUUGUUAGCAUGAAGCCAUAUUGUGAUCACAACUUCUGCUAUUCAGAGACAUUCUGAUUAGACUCAACAUUACAAGUGUUAAAGUUUACCUGUCAGGAGCAGGUCCAGGGCCCAUCAUCAAUCUUGG
This is a long non-coding RNA of Lepus europaeus (European hare), 1127 nucleotides long. RefSeq lists it as uncharacterized. Lineage: Eukaryota; Metazoa; Chordata; Mammalia; Lagomorpha; Leporidae. The transcript is spliced from 4 exons. The record is from RefSeq and is a predicted model, not a curated record.